Molecule: long non-coding RNA, 769 nt
Organism: Galleria mellonella (greater wax moth)
Lineage: Eukaryota; Metazoa; Arthropoda; Insecta; Lepidoptera; Pyralidae
Exons: 3
Source: RefSeq, a predicted model, not a curated record
AUUUACUAUAUACAAAUUAUAUUUGUUUUGGAAAAAUUUAAAAGUAUUUAAUGUAUUACUUUAUUUAGUAAUAAGCAAAAAAAAACAUGAUUAUAAUUUAUAACUUAUAUGAAUUAAAAAUUAUUUAAUAGAGAAUACAAGCGUUAUAGAGGAAAUAUUAAAAGGGUCUUUCAAACAGAUAAAAGAUGAAUGACUAGACUAACAACUACUUCAUCGAAUACAUCAGUUUAUACAGUAGUUGGGAGUCGACACGCCUUUUCCUAACAAGUGCCGGGAGUCGUCGUACACAAGGCCGCUGCCGCCCUUUGAUCCACCCACCUCAAAUCGCGUGACUGUGAUUUCGAUGAAGUUACAAACUAGGCUAUCUCCAACAUAUCAAACACGCUAAUUGCAAGUAUUGAAAUGAAAAAUAACUACAAUUGCAUCUAUGCAAGCUUCAACUAUUUAAAUUAUUAUAAGAACGCGGAAGAGAAGCGCCCACCCACCGCCCGCCCGCGUCAUCUGUUCGCGGGCAAUCGCGGGGGCGUAACCGCCGCCCUACGCCGCGCCCGAGCCAGCGUUACAUUGCAACUUUUUCCCGCCAGUUGGUCCAAGCAACCGACCGUAUUACAAGAAUUCUGUUAGUUAACUAACACUAUAUUAUUUUUAUUAUUCCGAACUUAAUUAAUAAUAUUAUCAAUAAUAAUGUUACAUACAUAUAUACAUACAAGCUGUUUGAUAAAAUAUGUUUUUCAGAUCCAUUUUACAAUAUUUUUACAUAAAAUAUCUA